Molecule: long non-coding RNA, 2395 nt
Organism: Beta vulgaris subsp. vulgaris (sugar beet)
Lineage: Eukaryota; Viridiplantae; Streptophyta; Magnoliopsida; Caryophyllales; Amaranthaceae
Exons: 2
Source: RefSeq, a predicted model, not a curated record
ACACCGAACUUUCAGCCCUAACCACCGCCCAUCAUCUUCUUCUCUCCUUUCUUCUACAAUAAGCUUGGAGCCAUUGUUGCCCAUAACCUAAACUUUAUAAACCUAUCAGCUUCCCUCACUCAUAAGUCAUAGUCUUCGGCUUCCCCUCAAUCCCUAGAAUUUUCGAGUUUACAAGGAAAUUGCCAUCUCUCUCUCUGCAAAUUACAGAUCACAGAUUACAAAUUAUUACAGAUUAGAGAUUAUAGAUUACGGGUUCAUUCAUAUUCAUCCACUCAAAUUUACCUUUCGAAGAAAGAAAUUGAAGAAUUUCCUGGACAAUUCCAUUAAAUCCAAGGUUUAUUUAAGCUAAUUACACAUUAUGCUUUAAUAUUUUAAUAUUUUCUGUAACUAUUUGGAUACGAAUUCAACAAAAUCCAUACUUUAGGCUGUUUAUAUGGUUGAAGUAAUAAAGCUGAGGUUUUAGAUUGAUUUCUUAGGGUAAAAUUCAAUAAAGUUUGCAACUUUUAAUCUAUUUAGCAAAUUGUGUGUUUCUUUGCUUGUAGAUAUUUAUUACUUGAGUAAUUAUCUACAUUAAUUUGCCGAAUUGUGGAAGCUUGUUUAGUUCUGUUUUGCCAAUCAUAAGUUUUCACAUAUGGAUUGUCUGAAUAAACAAGAAAGAUGGAUGUCCAAAUGUAAGGCUAUUAGUCGUAGUAAAUUGCCUGAGCUACCAGAUGAAAUUUGGAUUCAGAUUAUGUUGAAACUGCCUAUUAAGCCUCUUCAUAUAUGCAAAUGUGUAUCCAAGACAUGGCACUCUCAUGUCUUGCACAUUUUCGACACCCAGAAGGGAUUAGAGCUUCCUCCUUGUGGCAUUUUAUUCCACAUUAUGCGUGUUCCUGGUGGUUUUGGUUAUGAUAAUGAGAAUGAUGUAAAGCGAGAGUUCAACUGGGUUAUUUAUCCCUUGGUGACUACAAGAUUACAAAGUGGUCCAAGGAUGAUCAAACUGGAAGUGCUACCCUAGAGAUGACUGACCAUCAAAAUACCCAUGGAGAUUAUCAUAAUGGUAAUACUAGUGGAUUGUUGCUGGGUAACUUAACUAUAAAAUUUGGCGGCUGGAUCUCAAAUGCCAAAAAAUACAGGUUAUGGAACAUGCACCGUGGCUUGAUGCUUAGCAUCGUCGAUUCUCAUACUUAUCAUGUAUACAAUCCUGCCACCAAUGAAGUUUUUGUCCUACCUAAGUCUCCUUCUCAACUUUCCAGAUAUCAACCCACUGAGCUAGCAACCAUCAUUAAUUUUUCAGAUUGUCUUUUUCUACUGAAUGUAAUUUCAGUGUCAUUAUUUUUUCCAAGGACACAAGAACAGAGAAAAGCAUGGUAUUGGUUGAGAUUUAUUCUUCUAACAAGCAUCAAUGGUCUGCGUCAGAGUUCCCCCUUGAAAAGGAAGUCUAUUUAGAAAGAUGGAAUGUGUCUGGUGCUGUGUUUCUGGAUAGCACCUUAUAUUUCAUGACGAACAAGAGACAUGUUGUGGCAGUUCAAUUCCAUUCGAGGGACGAAGUAAGCCUUUACUCUAUGCGCCUGCCUUCUUGUAUCAAAAGGGGCUUCGUUGAAUCACAAUUGGAUGUCUCUCAAGGAUGUCUUUAUCUUUCCAACCGUAAGUUUCCGAACCUAUGGAUUUGGAAACACGAUGGAAGAUCAACAGAUUCUGAUCCUUGGAUCCGCAGCUUAUAUUCAAGAAAUCGGGUACUUCUGUAUGCCAACCAGUUGUUGAGAAAUUUUUUCGUCAAGUUGCGAGAGAACAUAUUUCUCCAUAUAUCAUAAUCAUCCAUCCUGAGGAACCGGUUGUUUUCAUUGACGUGGAAUCAUCCAUCUUUGCAUUCCAUCUUUUUAAUGGUACUGUUGAAAAGAUUGCUGAGCCUUCUAAGGAAGAUAUUCUUUUGGUGGGUACUGCCUUCAUAUAUUCUCCAUGCUUUGCCUCAUUGAAGCGUCUAAAGCCAACAAAUCCAGAUCGUUGUGAUCAAUCUAGUUGACCGAGGAUCUUGUCUGAUACUUCUGAAGAGGACAACAAAGGCAACUGAAGAAGACUGAUGCAUGUAACUAGUAUUCCUGAUAUAGCAUUCUAGACUUGCUGCUCCAAACUAUUUUGAAGGCGCACCUUCAUUGUUAUGAAGACAUUGAAUUAUGAUCUAAUUAUACUAUAUUUGUUUGAACUUUUUUGAUAUUAUGCAUUUUUAUAUAUCCAAGACCCGUUGAGAUUGGACUCUGUUAAUGUAAUAUGGUGAAUAUGUGAUUUUUUUUCCUUCACAAUUGAUUGGCCUGGAGAUGCUUUUCUUGGACCAACAGUCUUAGUUCUUAAUGUCUAAUCAUAGGCAUUCCCAUGAAGAGUUUGAAACUUGAAAGAGAUGCUCAUCCUUGUUCUUGAA